GAUGAACGCUGGCGGCGUGCCUAAUACAUGCAAGUCGAGCGAACAGAUGAGGAGCUUGCUCCUCUGACGUUAGCGGCGGACGGGUGAGUAACACGUGGAUCACCUACCUAUAAGACUGGGAUAACUUCGGGAAACCGGAGCUAAUACCGGAUAAUAUAUUGAACCGCAUUGUUCAAUAGUGAAAGACGGUUUUGCUGUCACUUAUAGAUGGAUCCGCGGCGCAUUAGCUAGUUGGUAAGGUAACGGCUUACCAAGGCAACGAUGCGUAGCCGACCUGAGAGGGUGAGCGGCCACACUGGAACUGAGGCACGGUCCAGACUCCUACGGGAGGCAGCAGUAGGGAAUCUUCCGCAAUGGGCGAAAGCCUGACGGAGCAACGCCGCGUGAGUGAUGAAGGUCUGCGGAUCGUAAAACUCUGUUAUUAGGGAAGAACAAAAGUGUAAGUAACUAUGCACGUCUUGACGGUACCUAAUCAGAAAGCCACGGCUAACUUCGUG
RNAcentral lists this ribosomal RNA (497 nucleotides) under uncultured bacterium. RNAcentral describes it as "partial 16S ribosomal RNA". It matches the Rfam family "Bacterial small subunit ribosomal RNA", at positions 28 to 507 of the family's 1533-position model. The record is from RNAcentral.